UUCUUCCAUAACAAAAUGGGUUGGGAAAGGGCAGUUAUCAUCACAUACCCGCAACUUCUUGGGUUUAGCUUGGAGUAGAGGAUUCUUCCAUGGUGUUCAGUUUUACGAGUAUUGAUAUUGAAAGGUCUGGUGAAGGAAGAUCUUAAAUUGGCACAUCUGUUGACAAAAAAUGAGAAGUAUUUCUUGGAGAAGUUUGUGACCAAAUAUGAGAAAGAAGUUCCUCAUCUCUUGGAAUUAUUCAAAGGAAAUAUUAAUCUGCUAGGACUAGGAUAUGGAACUGAGGAAGUGUGGAAAGAACCUAUUGUAAAAUGCCCAAAUCUUUGAAACUUGACAAACAGAUCUAAUUGCUUCUUUGUGACCUUGAAGCCUCAAUGUCUAUAUGGAGACUGUAUACGAGCCUAUAUAUAACUCUUUUUUUGUUUUCCAAAGCACUUAUCUGUUGCCUAGUCAUCCUGGUG
Long non-coding RNA from Telopea speciosissima, 458 nucleotides. RefSeq lists it as uncharacterized. NCBI's taxonomy places the organism in Eukaryota, Viridiplantae, Streptophyta, Magnoliopsida, Proteales, Proteaceae. The record is from RefSeq and is a predicted model, not a curated record. The transcript has 3 exons.